GUGCCAGCAGCCGCGGUAAUACGGAGGGUGCAAGCGUUAUCCGGAUUUACUGGGUUUAAAGGGUGCGUAGGCGGGCCUUUAAGUCAGUGGUGAAAUCUCCCGGCUUAACCGGGAAACUGCCAUUGAUACUAUUGGUCUUGAAUUCAGUUGAGGUGGGCGGAAUGUGUCGUGUAGCGGUGAAAUGCUUAGAUAUGACACAGAACACCAAUUGCGAAGGCAGCUCGCUAAACUGACAUUGACGCUGAGGCACGAAAGCGUGGGGAUCAAACAGGAUUAGAAACCCGAGUAGUCC
This 292-nucleotide ribosomal RNA is filed under the name uncultured bacterium. RNAcentral describes it as "partial 16S ribosomal RNA". It matches the Rfam family "Bacterial small subunit ribosomal RNA", at positions 505 to 796 of the family's 1533-position model. The record is from RNAcentral.